AUGAAUCUGAUUAGUUGGAACUGCCGGGGUGGGGGGAAUCCCCGGACAGUUCGUGAGUUAGCGACUAUUGCAAAGUCGCAUUCCCCCAUGUUUGUCUUUCUCUGUGAAACAAGGCAAAAAGCUUCAAAGAUGAGAAGAGUUCGCGGUCGGCUUGGUCUGAAGGGUUUUGAAGGUGUUGAUAGCAGUGGUAUGAGUGGAGGUCUUGCAUUUUUCUGGCAUGAAUCAUGCAUUGUGGAGAUU
RNAcentral lists this ribosomal RNA (240 nucleotides) under Triticum aestivum (bread wheat). RNAcentral describes it as "partial small subunit ribosomal RNA". Lineage: Eukaryota; Viridiplantae; Streptophyta; Magnoliopsida; Poales; Poaceae. The record is from RNAcentral.